This is a long non-coding RNA of Gallus gallus (chicken), 1070 nucleotides long. RefSeq lists it as uncharacterized. The transcript has 2 exons. The record is from RefSeq and is a predicted model, not a curated record. NCBI's taxonomy places the organism in Eukaryota, Metazoa, Chordata, Aves, Galliformes, Phasianidae.
AGGCAGAACAUGCCCUUGGUGAAGCCAUGCUGCUUUUCCUGUACCACCUUCACUGUCUUCCACCUCCAUCUUCCAAGCCUUAGCAUAGCUUCCAGGAGGAUCUGCUCCAUGAUCUUUCCCAGCACAGAGGACCCAGAACUGGAACCAGAACUCCAGGAGCAGCCUCAGCAAUGCAGAGUAGAUGGGAAAGAUCACCUCUCUUGCUGGUAAUACUUUGCCUAACGUAGGCAGGAAUGACGUUGGCCUUCUUAGCAGCAAGAACACCCAUGUUCAACUUGGUGUCCACCAGGACUCCCUAGGCCCUUUUCAGUUCACUGAGAAGGCAGAAACCUGAACGUUGCUGAGUCUGGUCUGUGGCAUUGACACUAAAUAAGCAGCAGUCCCUAAAAGGUUAGAAAUGGCCCCACUCAAAAAUUUUACAAGUGCUUGAGAGACAAGGGGUUGUAAGAGAUAGGCAAGAUGCCUGGAGGCUAAAACAACGUUGAGUGCAGCUCAGAAAGCACUUUCUGUGGACAGAACGUCUUUUCAACACAGCCAGAGAUUACCCAUAUGUCUUCAAACCCCAUUGCAUGCUACAUGUUGCAUUGAUCGUGUGCAGCAGCUGAGAGCUGAACAAAUAAGCUGCUGCUGCUGUGCUGGGUUGGGGAACAUCCUGGUGUUGCUCUGACAUUUCUCGUCAAGUUUUCAGACUCAAAUGGAUCCCACAUGGGGUAGAGCAUCAGGCUCCAUCAGCAAGCGGGAGAUUUGGAGGCUGGAGCCCUCUGUGUCCGGCUCAUGGAAACAAAGCAUCUUUUGUACUUCCUUCCAGUCAGGACAUUGGGUUGAAAGAAAACUUUGAGUGAGUCAGCCACUCCCCUGCUAUUAUAACAAGCAGCUGAAAGGCCACCAAAACCAGGCACUGCUGCUGGUCAAGCAGGCGCUUUCCUGCUCCUCUUUUAUUUUGGUUCACUGCUGGCAUGCUGGGGGUUUGCCACUUCUUUCUUUGCCUCCUACUGCCCAGAAACACUACAAGUAAAACCCCGAAGUGAUAUUAAAAUGGGAGGCUGGGCUCACAGCCAGCCGUUAGCAGA